Long non-coding RNA from Cebus imitator (Panamanian white-faced capuchin), 164 nucleotides. RefSeq lists it as uncharacterized. The record is from RefSeq and is a predicted model, not a curated record. Lineage: Eukaryota; Metazoa; Chordata; Mammalia; Primates; Cebidae. The transcript has 3 exons.
GUAUUUCCUUCUUCUUUUGUUAAAAACAUGUUUGUGUAUGUAUACACUUGUACUAAGAAAAUAUCUUCAUUUUAGUUCCUUUUUUCUUUGUCAUGUGACAUAAGAAUUAUUGACUUCACAUCAGCAUUUAAGUGUUGUUAACUUUAUAAAACUUCACAGUAUUU